Dendrobium catenatum is the source of this 103-nucleotide small nuclear RNA. The record is from RefSeq and is a predicted model, not a curated record. Lineage: Eukaryota; Viridiplantae; Streptophyta; Magnoliopsida; Asparagales; Orchidaceae.
GUCUUUUUGGAGACGUCCAAUAAAAUUGGAACGAUACAUAGAAGAUUAUCAUGGCCCCUGCACAAGGAUGACCCGCAUAAACUGAGAAAUUGUCUAAAUUUUU